Molecule: small RNA, 107 nt
Filed under: Marmota monax (woodchuck)
Lineage: Eukaryota; Metazoa; Chordata; Mammalia; Rodentia; Sciuridae
Source: RNAcentral
GCCAGGUGUGUUAGCCCAUGCCUGUAAUCCCAGCUACUCAGGAGGCUGAGGCAGGAGGAGAGCAGGGUCAAGGUCAGCCUGAGCAACUUAGCAAGACCCUGUCUCAA